This 292-nucleotide ribosomal RNA is filed under the name uncultured bacterium. RNAcentral describes it as "partial 16S ribosomal RNA". The record is from RNAcentral.
GGACUACUGGGGUUUCUAAUCCUGUUUGCUCCCCACGCUGUCGCGCAUCAGCGUCAGCUACUGCCCAGCAGGCCGCCUUCGCCACCGGUGUUCUUCCGGAUCUCUACGCAUUCCACCGCUACACCCGGAAUUCCACCUGCCUCUACAGUGCUCAAGCCCGAGAGUAUCGACGGCCGAUUCAGAGUUGAGCCCUGAACUUUCACCGUUGACUUCCCGCGCCGCCUACGCGCCCUUUACGCCCAGUGAUUCCGGACAACGCUCGCACCCUCCGUAUUACCGCGGCUGCUGGCAC